UCCACAGCACGUAUUUGGACAAUAGCAGAUGGGACAUCUAGAUCUAGUGUGCAGAAUAGUCAUCUAAAUGUGCUGGUGCUGAAGCAUGUCAAAGGUAGAACAAAUGAGAAGAGCAAAGAUGUUACAACAUUAGAUUGGAAUGGUGAGGGGACCUUAUUGGCAACAGGUUCAUAUGAUGGGCAAGCAAGAAUUUGGAACACAAGUGGUGAACUAAAGACUACUUUGAGUAAACACAAAGGUCCUAUAUUUUCUCUGAA
Molecule: unclassified non-coding RNA, 257 nt
Filed under: Hevea brasiliensis (rubber tree)
Lineage: Eukaryota; Viridiplantae; Streptophyta; Magnoliopsida; Malpighiales; Euphorbiaceae
Source: RNAcentral